Molecule: ribosomal RNA, 445 nt
Filed under: uncultured Desulfobulbus sp.
Lineage: Bacteria; Pseudomonadati; Thermodesulfobacteriota; Desulfobulbia; Desulfobulbales; Desulfobulbaceae
Description: bacterial SSU rRNA
Rfam family: Bacterial small subunit ribosomal RNA
Source: RNAcentral
UGUGGUUUAAUUCGAUGCAACGCGAAGAACCUUACCUGGUCUUGACAUCCCGGAGACCCUUAGGAAACUAGGGGUGCUUCCAUCUGGAAGAAUCUGGAGACAGUGCUGCAUGGCUGUCGUCAGCUCGUGUCGUGAGAUGUUGGGUUAAGUCCCGCAACGAGCGCAACCCUUGCCUUUAGUUGCCAGCAGUUCGGCUGGGCACUCUAAAGGGACUGCCGGUGUUAAACCGGAGGAAGUGGGGAUGACGUCAAGUCCUCAUGGCCUUUAUGACCAGGGCUACACACGUACUACAAUGGCCGAUACAAAGGGCAGCGACACUGCGAGGUGAAGCCAAUCCCGUAAAAUCGGUCUCAGUCCGGAUUGGAGUCUGCAACUCGACUCCAUGAAGUUGGAAUCGCUAGUAAUCGUGGAUCAGCAUGCCACGGUGAAUACGUUCCCGGGCCUU